CUUGCCAGCUGUACAACGUCCAACAGAGGAAGUAACAUAAAUGCUGAACGUUAAGUUUUAUUAUCUAGCUUACAAUGGCCGUGUUCAUCCUUCAGCUCCAAGGAGGUCUUUAUGGGUUCUUGCCUUGCUGUUCAUCCUCUGGGAUUUGAAAACUGCUCUUAGUCUCUGGACAGAGUCUACUUGUCUUGCCUGGUUUGAAUCCACGGAUCAUCUGCAGAACACAGAGACCGAGACUUAUCUCCCGACCAAUGAACAUCCGCCAAAAUCUCUCCCUAUCCACAGGCCAACAAACUUACUGCUUGGACUCUGGCUGGACUCCCCCUCUUUACGCUCCUUGUUCAUCAAGACAGCCCGCCUCAAACCCGCAACGGACUUGCCUGUAGCUUGCUACAGCAUUCAUUCACUGAACUGCAAUUCUUCUGCUAGUCCUGAAUAAACUCAAUUUCUGGUAA
Molecule: long non-coding RNA, 452 nt
Filed under: Equus caballus (horse)
Lineage: Eukaryota; Metazoa; Chordata; Mammalia; Perissodactyla; Equidae
Description: lncRNA (ENSECAG00000033781.3)
Source: RNAcentral